UACGUAGGGUGCAAGCGUUGCCCGGAUUUAUUGGGCGUAAAGGGCGCGUAGGCGGCUCGGCACGUCCGUUGUGAAAUCGCCCGGCUCAACUGGGCGGGGUCAGCGGAUACGGUCGAGCUUGAGCAAGCUAGGGGGCAAUGGAAUUCCCGGUGUAGUGGUGGAAUGCGUAGAUAUGCGGAGGAACACCGAUGGCGAAGGCAAUCCCCUGGACCUGUACUGACGCUCAUGCACGAAAGCGUGGGGAGCAAACAGG
This 253-nucleotide ribosomal RNA is filed under the name uncultured bacterium. Its description in RNAcentral is "partial 16S ribosomal RNA". It matches the Rfam family "Bacterial small subunit ribosomal RNA", at positions 524 to 776 of the family's 1533-position model. The record is from RNAcentral.